RNAcentral lists this ribosomal RNA (490 nucleotides) under uncultured bacterium. RNAcentral describes it as "partial 16S ribosomal RNA". It matches the Rfam family "Bacterial small subunit ribosomal RNA", at positions 30 to 507 of the family's 1533-position model. The record is from RNAcentral.
AUUGAACGCUGGCGGCAGGCCUAACACAUGCAAGUCGAACGGUAACAGGGAUCAGCUUGCUGAUUCGCUGACGAGUGGCGGACGGGUGAGUAAUGUCUGGGAAACUGCCUGAUGGAGGGGGAUAACUACUGGAAACGGUAGCUAAUACCGCAUAACGUCGCAAGACCAAAGAGGGGGACCUUCGGGCCUCUUGCCAUCGGAUGUGCCCAGAUGGGAUUAGCUAGUAGGUGGGGUAACGGCUCACCUAGGCGACGAUCCCUAGCUGGUCUGAGAGGAUGACCAGCCACACUGGAACUGAGACACGGUCCAGACUCCUACGGGAGGCAGCAGUGGGGAAUAUUGCACAAUGGGCGCAAGCCUGAUGCGGCCAUGCCGCGUGUAUGAAGAAGGCCUUCGGGUUGUAAAGUACUUUCAGCGGGGAGGAAGGGAGUAAAGUUAAUACCUUUGCUCAUUGACGUUACCCGCAGAAGAAGCACCGGCUAACUCCGUG